This 891-nucleotide ribosomal RNA is filed under the name Ganoderma lingzhi. Its description in RNAcentral is "partial large subunit ribosomal RNA". It matches the Rfam family "Eukaryotic large subunit ribosomal RNA", at positions 64 to 942 of the family's 3401-position model. Lineage: Eukaryota; Fungi; Basidiomycota; Agaricomycetes; Polyporales; Polyporaceae. The record is from RNAcentral.
ACUAACAAGGAUUCCCCUAGUAACUGCGAGUGAAGCGGGAAAAGCUCAAAUUUAAAAUCUGGCGGUCUUUGGCCGUCCGAGUUGUAGUCUGGAGAAGUGCUUUCCGCGCUGGACCGUGUAUAAGUCUCUUGGAACAGAGCGUCAUAGAGGGUGAGAAUCCCGUCUUUGACACGGACUACCAGUGCUUUGUGAUGCGCUCUCAAAGAGUCGAGUUGUUUGGGAAUGCAGCUCAAAAUGGGUGGUGAAUUCCAUCUAAAGCUAAAUAUUGGCGAGAGACCGAUAGCGAACAAGUACCGUGAGGGAAAGAUGAAAAGCACUUUGGAAAGAGAGUUAAACAGUACGUGAAAUUGCUGAAAGGGAAACGCUUGAAGUCAGUCGCGUUGUCCGGAACUCAGCCUUGCUUUUGCUUGGUGCACUUUCCGGAUGACGGGUCAGCAUCGAUUUUGACCGUCGGAAAAGGGCUGGAGUAAUGUGGCACCUCCGGGUGUGUUAUAGACUCUGGUCGCAUACGACGGUUGGGAUCGAGGAACGCAGCGCGCCGCAAGGCAGGGGUUCGCCCACUUUCGCGCUUAGGAUGCUGGCAUAAUGGCUUUAAACGACCCGUCUUGAAACACGGACCAAGGAGUCUAACAUACCUGCGAGUGUUUGGGUGGAAAACCCGAGCGCGUAAUGAAAGUGAAAGUUGAGAUCCCUGUCGUGGGGAGCACCGACGCCCGGACCUGACGUUCUCUGACGGAUCCGCGGUAGAGCAUGUAUGUUGGGACCCGAAAGAUGGUGAACUAUGCCUGAAUAGGGUGAAGCCAGAGGAAACUCUGGUGGAGGCUCGUAGCGAUUCUGACGUGCAAAUCGAUCGUCAAAUUUGGGUAUAGGGGCGAAAGACUAAUCGAACCA